This 433-nucleotide ribosomal RNA is filed under the name uncultured bacterium. Its description in RNAcentral is "partial 16S ribosomal RNA". It matches the Rfam family "Bacterial small subunit ribosomal RNA", at positions 29 to 507 of the family's 1533-position model. The record is from RNAcentral.
AACGAACGCUGGCGGCAUGCCUAACACAUGCAAGUCGAACGAGACCUUCGGGUCUAGUGGCGCACGGGUGCGUAACGCGUGGGAACCUGCACUUAGGUUCGGAAUAACUCCCCGAAAGGGGUGCUAAUACCGGAUAAUGUCUUCGGACCAAAGAUUUAUCGCCUUUGGAUGGGCCCGCGUUGGAUUAGCUAGUUGGUAGGGUAAAAGCCUACCAAGGCGACGAUCCAUAGCUGGUCUGAGAGGAUGAUCGGCAACACUGGGACUGAGACACGGCCCAGACUCCUACGGGAGGCAGCAGUGGGGAAUAUUGGACAAUGGGCGAAAGCCUGAUCCAGCAAUGCCGCGUGAGUGAUGAAGGCCUUAGGGUUGUAAAGCUCUUUUACCCGGGAUGAUAAUGACGGUACCGGGAGAAUAAGCUCCGGCUAACUCCGUG